GGCCAGCAUCAGCUUGCCGUCGGGGACAAAAGCUUCAGGAACGUAGCUCUCUUCGGGGAGUGUUAUAGCCUGUUGCAUAAUACCCUUCGGCGGGCUGAGGUACGCGCUCCGCAAGGAUGCUGGCGUAAUGGUCAUCAGCGA
Molecule: ribosomal RNA, 141 nt
Filed under: Colletotrichum spaethianum
Lineage: Eukaryota; Fungi; Ascomycota; Sordariomycetes; Glomerellales; Glomerellaceae
Description: partial large subunit ribosomal RNA
Source: RNAcentral